RNA transcript from Sceloporus undulatus (fence lizard), 631 nucleotides. It is a transcript of the gene named complement decay-accelerating factor, GPI-anchored-like, with no coding region annotated. The record is from RefSeq and is a predicted model, not a curated record. NCBI's taxonomy places the organism in Eukaryota, Metazoa, Chordata, Lepidosauria, Squamata, Phrynosomatidae. The transcript is spliced from 3 exons.
CAGAGGAAGUGUUCCAGUAGAUCAGACACAUUUCACUUUCUCAGAUCUUAGUAAAAAUCAAAGUGCCCAGGGCCACCCACAGCUUAGAUCCUGCCUUCCUGCUCCUAUCCCCCUGGGAGCCCACUCUUCCUACCCUGGCAUGUUUGGAUGACUUCUGGGGAGACACCAGGGCUGGAAAGGGACCCAGCUACCAUGUGGUCCCCUUUAGUCUCCUACGGGGAACUGAUGCUUUUGCUGCUUUUGGUACUUCUUUCUGGAAUUCGAGGUGAUUGUGGACCACCACCAAAACUGAACAAUGCCAUUCCUUAUAACAAACCUCAUGGAGAAAGCUUCCUCCCCAUGCAGUCAGUAAACUACAAAUGUCUGGCUGGUUUUUAUAACAUCUAUGGGAAACUGGAUGUUGUAACAUGUCUUCCAGAUUCACAUGGAGCCCCAUAGAGGGUUUUGCGAACGCACCUGUGUGAAGCCAGCAGGGCCAGAUUUGCUAGAAUAAGGUCAAAAGAUAUCUGCCCUUCAUCCUGCAGAGACCAAAGUGAGCUUUACAUGUCGUCCAGGUUAUAACCACCAUCCCUGGAAUAAAUUCUGCUAUUACAUGUCUAAGAAUUAUACCUGGACACGCUCCAGUUUUUUG